UAUACGACUCUCGGCAACGGAUAUCUCGGCUCUCGCAUCGAUGAAGAACGUAGCGAAAUGCGAUACUUGGUGUGAAUUGCAGAAUCCCGUGAACCAUCGAGUCUUUGAACGCAAGUUGUGCCCGAGGCCUUUCGGUUGAGGGCACGCCUGCCUGGGUGUCAUGC
This 164-nucleotide ribosomal RNA is filed under the name Lilium michiganense. Its description in RNAcentral is "5.8S ribosomal RNA". It matches the Rfam family "5.8S ribosomal RNA". From Rfam's summary of the family: 5.8S ribosomal RNA (5.8S rRNA) is a component of the large subunit of the eukaryotic ribosome. It is transcribed by RNA polymerase I as part of the 45S precursor that also contains 18S and 28S rRNA. The record is from RNAcentral. Lineage: Eukaryota; Viridiplantae; Streptophyta; Magnoliopsida; Liliales; Liliaceae.